CAGUCGCCACGGUAAAACGGAGGGUGCAAGCGUUAAUCGGAAUUACUGGGCGUAAAGCGCACGCAGGCGGUUUGUUAAGUCAGAUGUGAAAUCCCCGAGCUUAACUUGGGAACUGCAUUUGAAACUGGCAAGCUAGAGUCUUGUAGAGGGGGGUAGAACUCCAGGUGUAGCGGUGAAAUGCGUAGAGAUCUGGAGGAAUACCGGUGGCGAAGGCGGCCCCCUGGACAAAGACUGACGCUCAGGUGCGAAAGCGUGGGGAGCAAAUAGGAUUAGAGACCCGUGUAGUCCCUGUCUCUUAUAC
Molecule: ribosomal RNA, 301 nt
Filed under: uncultured bacterium
Lineage: Bacteria
Description: partial 16S ribosomal RNA
Rfam family: Bacterial small subunit ribosomal RNA
Source: RNAcentral